Long non-coding RNA from Alosa sapidissima (American shad), 338 nucleotides. RefSeq lists it as uncharacterized. The record is from RefSeq and is a predicted model, not a curated record. NCBI's taxonomy places the organism in Eukaryota, Metazoa, Chordata, Actinopteri, Clupeiformes, Clupeidae. The transcript has 2 exons.
GAUACACGGGGCAAGUCGUUAACAAAAUGUUUCCCCUCUCUAUCGGCAGUUAUCUUUCGGCUGUUCCUAGGGCCUUCAAGAUCACUCCACUGGAUCACUGGACCAUUAUUUACAUCAGCAUGGAGAACAUGUAGCCUACCACUGAAUAGAAAAUACAUAUCCUUCCCUCCUAUAUUUGUUCUUUAAAAUGUGUUUCUUAGGUCUAUUGUAUUCUAGUCUUUGAACACCAUUAUUGUAGACUUCUCCCCUGUCCUGUCUGAUAAAUUUAAAAUUGCAUUUUUAAAUAUUAUUCCCUAAUGCUGGGAUAUGUGAACUUUAAUAAAUAAUUUUAUUCAUUA